AUACCUUUCUCGGCCUUUUGGCUAAGAUCAAGUGUAGUAUCUGUUCUUAUCAGUUUAAUAUCUGAUAACGGGAACCUACGGGUUCCCGGCGGGUGAGCCUAUAGGUCUACCUAUAUAUGUUUGCCCGCCCAGAUGUUAAUUUUUUUUCAGGGGAAGGACCCAUUGUCUAGUAGCUUGCUACUUGGGGGUUACUUCUGUGUUGUCCUUGCUUUGCACUCCCGCAAGGGCUUAGCACACCCACC
RNAcentral lists this small nuclear RNA (242 nucleotides) under Corchorus olitorius. Its description in RNAcentral is "U2 spliceosomal RNA". It matches the Rfam family "U2 spliceosomal RNA". Rfam says of the family: U2 is a small nuclear RNA (snRNA) component of the spliceosome (involved in pre-mRNA splicing). The record is from Rfam by way of RNAcentral. Lineage: Eukaryota; Viridiplantae; Streptophyta; Magnoliopsida; Malvales; Malvaceae.